UUCCCAGGACUUCUGGGUUCCCUGGAGUAUCUCUGCAACAAAAUGCUGCUGUAGCAAUGGUCAGAAGAAACCCUUUAGCUCUUUCCUAUGUACCACAGGUGAGCAUGGUGGUACAAUCGGCCCCAGUUCUUCACUCCUUUCUCCACCCACUCCCUUACUAUAGCCUCAUCAUGAAUGGAGUGUCCUUUCGCGGGGACAUUGAGCUUGGCCAUGUGACUUUCUUUGGCCAAUGGCUGGUAGUAGACGUGACACAGCAGGGAUGGAAGUGUUUUGCACACUGGGACUUCUCUCUUCUGCUUCUGCUGGCACCAUCAGAAGAACAAGCUUUGGUUAGUCUGCUAAGGAGGACAGGAUGAGAGACAUGUAGAGCAAAGCCACCAACGUGGUCCAGAGACCUGAUGUGAGAGGCAGAGCCACUCAGCCAUUGCAGCCGGAGCAGAGUUGACCAGCUGAGCCCAAUUCAGAUCAGCCAAAUCCCAGACAACACACAGAGCUCUGAAGACAAAUGCUUAUUGUUGCAUUGAACUGAGGAGACUUUUGUGGUUUUUUUUUUUUUUUUUUUUUUUUUUUACCCCCUUGGCGCUAGCUGACUAACACAGGCACUGAACUGUUUUAUAUCAAGAUUUCACAAGCUUAUAAAAUAAUGCUCAGGGAUGGUAUUCCAAGUAUGAGUCAGGAAAACAGCUUAAAUCAUUUAUGAGCUAAGGAAAGGAGUUAUAGCUUCAGAAAGGUGUGGCAGAUGGCAAAGAUAUCCUACCUUACUUAAGCGUAUGCUUUACCCUUUAAACCCAAGACAGUCUAACAUAAAUGCAGUCAUGUCAAGGGAAUAUGCCCCCCUGGAUGUGGAGGGGGAGAGCACAGUGACAUUGGCUACUUCUCAGUUUUAAGUUGUGUGAAAUUGCACUUUAAAAUUCUGACAUUCCUUGGUCUUCCAAUUUCACAUGUUCUUGGGGUGUCCCUGGCCACAAAACUCUUUCCCAUCCUGGCGAUGUUUCAUUGAUCCAACGUGAACGCAAGGAUUAGAUGGUGUGCUGAGAGCAGGUUUUAGAAAGAGGCGAAGAGCAGGCAAUGGAAUUCAGAGGCCAGAGAUCCUGGGAUGGACUCAAAGCAGAGGCUCCAGUAUGAUGAUCACAAAGCAGAGAGGAAGAAACCAUCAUGAAGCAGAGGGGGAAAUGCACCUUGGUUGGACAGGACCCGCUGGGACCUAAUCACACCCAGGCCCAUAACAAGCAUCCCCAUCCAGGCAGCAGUGUUGGCUCUUCUUGGACCAGGGCUGACAGGUGGGAGAGACUGGGUGGUGAGAAUCCUGUGUGGGACUAUGGACAGGAGGAAAACCAGAGAGGAAGGACAGGUUCUUCCGUACGAGGAAGAUAGAUGAUAGUUGCUGACCACAGAGUUCACGGGAUCAUCGUGAGGAUCCAAUAACACAGUGCACGGAGAAGUGCUUUGAAAUGGAAUGAGUAUGCACUCAGGGCGUUAAUAAUAUCCAGUCACUUUCCUAGAUACCAAACAACCCGGGCAUCCCAAAGGUAUCGCGGUCUCCAGCUCGCGCUUCCUGACUGGCUAGGAAAAGGAAAAAGGCAAAGACAUGCAAGAAAACAUACGUGGUUUCUGAAGUGAAGACCCCUGUACCAGGAGCCUGAAAGCCCACAGGAAGUUAAGGAAGAGACCCCACAAGUGGGAGGCUUUGAACUUAAACCUUGGAAGAGCUGAAUCCCCGAGGCCUCACCUUUGCUUCCUACCCCCACCCAAACCUGCUAAAGGCCCCAGACACUAAAAAUACCCUGGCCACCUGCUGCCCAGGGAGGCAGUAAAUCACAGGUCCUCGAGCACCAGAAUCCAGGCCAGGCCCGGCCUAACACGACCAAUGGCAGCUGACAAGGCCCCACAGAUCACGGCCUCAACUGCUGUCCUAUUACUCUGGGGCCACCAGAUGUCACUGUUACAGGGAGCAUGAAUAUUUGUGGUCCGGUCCUGGGACAGGCACUGAAUUUACGAAGACAGUUUAAAUCGUGGGCGCUCAUGGGGACACCAGUGACACCCAUGUCUUACUUCCAGUUCUUAAGUUCUCACUAGUGAGAUCAUGUCCGCAGGUACCACUAUCAGUCCAAUCCCCAAAAUGUAAUAAAAAAAAUGCCAAAAAUU
Lynx canadensis (Canada lynx) is the source of this 2145-nucleotide long non-coding RNA. RefSeq lists it as uncharacterized. Lineage: Eukaryota; Metazoa; Chordata; Mammalia; Carnivora; Felidae. The transcript has 3 exons. The record is from RefSeq and is a predicted model, not a curated record.